UGCUCUGCAUGCAUCACUAUGGAACAGCAACAGAGACAUGAAUUCAGGCCGUCUUGGGAUUUGUGCAGAGAAGUACCAUACAUUCAAGAUGAGCAGAUGCCAAAGAAACGAGUGCGGUGUUUGAAAUGGUUUUCUUGUGCCAUCGUUGGCAUACUUGUCUUCGUCCUUGCACUUCUCAGUAAAACAUCAUUUCUGCUAUUGAUUACAUUUGGGAACAAUCACACGGAGAUUAUAUGUUCAGAUCAAAAACCGACCGCCCUACUUGGCAUUGGCUUCGUUCUGGUUGUACCAAGUGUUCUCCUUCUGCUAAAAAGCACAUGGAAGUUUAUUUUCAAGAGUGCAACCAUG
Molecule: long non-coding RNA, 348 nt
Organism: Carassius carassius (crucian carp)
Lineage: Eukaryota; Metazoa; Chordata; Actinopteri; Cypriniformes; Cyprinidae
Exons: 3
Source: RefSeq, a predicted model, not a curated record